AACUUUCAACAACGGAUCUCUUGGUUCCGACAUCGAUGAAGAACGCAGCGAAAUGCGAUAAGUAAUGUGAAUUGCAGAAUUCCGUGAAUCAUCGAAUCUUUGAACGCAUAUUGCGCCCCCUGGUAUUCCGGGGGGCAUGCCUGUCCGAGCGUCAUU
This 156-nucleotide ribosomal RNA is filed under the name Histoplasma capsulatum. RNAcentral describes it as "5.8S ribosomal RNA". It matches the Rfam family "5.8S ribosomal RNA". Rfam says of the family: 5.8S ribosomal RNA (5.8S rRNA) is a component of the large subunit of the eukaryotic ribosome. It is transcribed by RNA polymerase I as part of the 45S precursor that also contains 18S and 28S rRNA. Lineage: Eukaryota; Fungi; Ascomycota; Eurotiomycetes; Onygenales; Ajellomycetaceae. The record is from RNAcentral.